Molecule: ribosomal RNA, 253 nt
Filed under: uncultured bacterium
Lineage: Bacteria
Description: partial 16S ribosomal RNA
Rfam family: Bacterial small subunit ribosomal RNA
Source: RNAcentral
UACGUAGGGUGCGAGCGUUGCCCGGAUUUAUUGGGCGUAAAGGGCGCGUAGGCGGCCACGCACGUCCGUUGUGAAAUCGCCCGGCUCAACUGGGCGGGGUCAGCGGAUACGGUGUGGCUCGAGCAAGCUAGGGGGCAAUGGAAUUCCCGGUGUAGUGGUGGAAUGCGUAGAUAUCGGGAGGAACACCAGUGGCGAAGGCGGUUGCCUGGAGCUUUGCUGACGCUGAGGCGCGAAGGCGUGGGGAGCGAUCCGG